UACGUAGGGUGCAAGCGUUAAUCGGAAUUACUGGGCGUAAAGCGUGCGCAGGCGGUUUUGUAAGUCUGUCGUGAAAUCCCCGGGCUCAACCUGGGAAUUGCGAUGGAGACUGCAAGGCUAGAAUCUGGCAGAGGGGGUAGAAUUCCACGUGUGAGCAGUGAAAUGCGUAGAGAUGUGGAGGAACACCGAUGGCGAAGGCAGCCCCCUGGGUCAAGAUUGACGCUCAUGCACGAAAGGCGUGGGGAGCAAACAGG
RNAcentral lists this ribosomal RNA (254 nucleotides) under uncultured bacterium. Its description in RNAcentral is "partial 16S ribosomal RNA". It matches the Rfam family "Bacterial small subunit ribosomal RNA", at positions 524 to 776 of the family's 1533-position model. The record is from RNAcentral.